ACGGAGGAUGCAAGCGUUAUCCGGAUUCAUUGGGUUUAAAGGGUGCGCAGGUGGGAAAAUAAGUCAGUGGUGAAAUACUGCCGCUUAACGGUAGAAUUGCCAUUGAUACUGUUUUUCUUGAGUAUGGUUGAGGUAGGUGGAAUGUGUUGUGUAGCGGUGAAAUGCAUAGAUAUGACACAGAACGCCAAUUGCGAAGGCAGCUUACUAAGCCAUUACUGACGCUGAGGCACGAAAGCGUGGGGAUCAAACAG
Molecule: ribosomal RNA, 251 nt
Filed under: uncultured prokaryote
Description: partial 16S rRNA
Rfam family: Bacterial small subunit ribosomal RNA
Source: RNAcentral